RNAcentral lists this ribosomal RNA (620 nucleotides) under uncultured bacterium. Its description in RNAcentral is "bacterial SSU rRNA". It matches the Rfam family "Bacterial small subunit ribosomal RNA", at positions 338 to 956 of the family's 1533-position model. The record is from RNAcentral.
CCUACGGGAGGCAGCAGUGGGGAAUUUUGGACAAUGGGCGAAAGCCUGAUCCAGCAAUGCCGCGUGAGUGAAGAAGGCCUUCGGGUUGUAAAGCUCUUUUGUCAGGGAAGAAACGGUGAGAGCUAAUAUCUUUUGCUAAUGACGGUACCUGAAGAAUAAGCACCGGCUAACUACGUGCCAGCAGCCGCGGUAAUACGUAGGGUGCAAGCGUUAAUCGGAAUUACUGGGCGUAAAGCGUGCGCAGGCGGUUUUGUAAGUCUGAUGUGAAAUCCCCGGGCUCAACCUGGGAAUUGCAUUGGAGACUGCAAGGCUAGAAUCUGGCAGAGGGGGGUAGAAUUCCACGUGUAGCAGUGAAAUGCGUAGAUAUGUGGAGGAACACCGAUGGCGAAGGCAGCCCCCUGGGUCAAGAUUGACGCUCAUGCACGAAAGCGUGGGGAGCAAACAGGAUUAGAUACCCUGGUAGUCCACGCCCUAAACGAUGUCUACUAGUUGUCGGGUCUUAAUUGACUUGGUAACGCAGCUAACGCGUGAAGUAGACCGCCUGGGGAGUCGGUCGCAAGAUUAAAACGUCGAAAGUAGUGACGNGAGAGAGUUGACCGAGCACGACGGAGGGUUAGAGG